Molecule: ribosomal RNA, 377 nt
Filed under: Rhizobium sp.
Lineage: Bacteria; Pseudomonadati; Pseudomonadota; Alphaproteobacteria; Hyphomicrobiales; Rhizobiaceae
Description: bacterial SSU rRNA
Rfam family: Bacterial small subunit ribosomal RNA
Source: RNAcentral
GAACGAACGCUGGCGGCAGGCUUAACACAUGCAAGUCGAACGCUCCGCAAGGAGAGUGGCAGACGGGUGAGUAACACGUGGGAACGUACCCUUUACUACGGAACAACUCCGGGAAACUGGAGCUAAUACCGUAUGUGCCCUUCGGGGGAAAGAUUUAUCGGUAAAGGAUCGGCCCGCGUUGGAUUAGCUAGUUGGUGGGGUAAAGGCCUACCAAGGCGACGAUCCAUAGCUGGUCUGAGAGGAUGAUCAGCCACAUUGGGACUGAGACACGGCCCAAACUCCUACGGGAGGCAGCAGUGGGGAAUAUUGGACAAUGGGCGCAAGCCUGAUCCAGCCAUGCCGCGUGUGUGAUGAAGGCCUUAGGGUUGUAAAGCACU